ACGGAAGGCAGCAGUGGGGAAUAUUGGGCAAUGGGCGCAAGCCUGACCCAGCAAUGCCGCGUGAAGGAAGAAGGCUUUCGGGUUGUAAACUUCUUUUACCAGGGACGAAGGACGUGACGGUACCUGGAGAAAAAGCAACGGCUAACUACGUGCCAGCAGCCGCGGUAAUACGUAGGUUGCGAGCGUUGUCCGGAUUUACUGGGUGUAAAGGGCGUGUAGGCGGAGUUGCAAGUCAGAUGUGAAAUCUAUGGGCUCAACCCAUAAAUUGCAUUUGAAACUGUAACCCUUGAGUAUCGAAGAGGCAAGCGGAAUUCCUAGUGUAGCGGUGAAAUGCGUAGAUAUUAGGAGGAACACCAGUGGCGAAGGCGGCUUGCUGGACGACAACUGACGCUGAGGCGCGAAAGCGUGGGGAGCAAACAGGAUUAGAUACCCUGGUA
The sequence is a ribosomal RNA, 437 nucleotides long. It matches the Rfam family "Bacterial small subunit ribosomal RNA", at positions 341 to 792 of the family's 1533-position model.